CAGCGGGUCGAGUUCGGCUGGAUCGGAGGACAGGUGCUGCAUUGGCUGUCGUCAGCUCGUGUCGUGAGAUGUUGGUUAGUCCCGCAACGAGCGCAACCCUUGUCCUUAGUUGCCAUCAUUUAGUUGGGCACUCUAAGGAGACUGCCGGUGUUAAACCGGAGGAAGGUGGGGAUGACGUCAAGUCCUCAUGGCCCUUAUGUCCAGGGCUACACACGUGCUACAAUGGCCGGUACAAAGGGCAGCAAAGCCGCGAGGUGGAGCCAAUCCCAGAAAGCCGGUCUCAGUUCGGAUUGGAGUCUGCAACUCGACUCCAUGAAGUUGGAAUCGCUAGUAAUCGCGGAUCAGCAUGCCGCGGUGAAUACGUUCCCGGGCCUU
Molecule: ribosomal RNA, 375 nt
Filed under: uncultured Desulfuromonas sp.
Lineage: Bacteria; Pseudomonadati; Thermodesulfobacteriota; Desulfuromonadia; Desulfuromonadales; Desulfuromonadaceae
Description: bacterial SSU rRNA
Rfam family: Bacterial small subunit ribosomal RNA
Source: RNAcentral